AUACGUAUGUCGCAAGCGUUAUCCGGAAUUAUUGGGCGUAAAGCGAGUCUAGGCGGCUUGUUAAGUCAGAUGUGAAAAUGCGGGGCUCAACUCCGUAUUGCGUUUGAAACUGGCAGGCUAGAGUACUGGAGAGGUGGGCGGAACUACAAGUGUAGAGGUGAAAUUCGUAGAUAUUCGUAGGAAUGCCGAUAGUGAAGACAGCUCACUGGACAGAUACUGACGCUAAAGCUCGAAAGCGUGGGGAGCGAACAGGAUUAGAAACCCGGGUAGUCC
Molecule: ribosomal RNA, 273 nt
Filed under: uncultured bacterium
Lineage: Bacteria
Description: partial 16S ribosomal RNA
Rfam family: Bacterial small subunit ribosomal RNA
Source: RNAcentral